GAGGGGUGGCAGAACUAUAAUGCCUCAGGCCUAAGACCUGACAAUGAGAUUUAACUCCCCCUCC
This 64-nucleotide transfer RNA is filed under the name Sinosolenaia oleivora. Its description in RNAcentral is "tRNA-Leu". Lineage: Eukaryota; Metazoa; Mollusca; Bivalvia; Unionida; Unionidae. The record is from RNAcentral.